CCUACGGGGGGCUGCAGUGGGGAAUAUUGCACAAUGGGCGCAAGCCUGAUGCAGCCAUGCCGCGUGUGUGAAGAAGGCCUUCGGGUUGUAAAGCACUUUCAGCGGGGAGGAAGGCGGUAAGGUUAAUAACCUCAUCGAUUGACGUUACCCGCAGAAGAAGCACCGGCUAACUCCGUGCCAGCAGCCGCGGUAAUACGGAGGGUGCAAGCGUUAAUCGGAAUUACUGGGCGUAAAGCGCACGCAGGCGGUCUGUCAAGUCGGAUGUGAAAUCCCCGGGCUCAACCUGGGAACUGCAUUCGAAACUGGCAGGCUAGAGUCUUGUAGAGGGGGGUAGAAUUCCAGGUGUAGCGGUGAAAUGCGUAGAGAUCUGGAGGAAUACCGGUGGCGAAGGCGGCCCCCUGGACAAAGACUGACGCUCAGGUGCGAAAGCGUGGGGAGCAAACAGGAUUAGAUACCCCGGUAGUC
RNAcentral lists this ribosomal RNA (465 nucleotides) under uncultured Klebsiella sp. Its description in RNAcentral is "bacterial SSU rRNA". It matches the Rfam family "Bacterial small subunit ribosomal RNA", at positions 338 to 795 of the family's 1533-position model. Lineage: Bacteria; Pseudomonadati; Pseudomonadota; Gammaproteobacteria; Enterobacterales; Enterobacteriaceae. The record is from RNAcentral.